RNAcentral lists this ribosomal RNA (253 nucleotides) under uncultured bacterium. RNAcentral describes it as "partial 16S ribosomal RNA". It matches the Rfam family "Bacterial small subunit ribosomal RNA", at positions 524 to 776 of the family's 1533-position model. The record is from RNAcentral.
UACGGAGGGUGCAAGCGUUAUCCGGAUUCACUGGGUUUAAAGGGUGCGUAGGCGGCGCGGUAAGUCGGGUGUGAAAUCUCGGAGCUUAACUCCGAAACUGCAUUCGAUACUGCCGUGCUUGAGGACUGGAGAGGAGACUGGAAUUCUCGGUGUAGCGGUGAAAUGCGUAGAUAUCGAGAGGAACACCUGCGGCGAAGGCGGGUUGCUGGGCUGACACUGACGCUGAAGCGCGAAAGCCAGGGGAGCGAACGGG